RNAcentral lists this long non-coding RNA (1818 nucleotides) under Aquilegia coerulea. Its description in RNAcentral is "long non-coding RNA (ACOE_LNC002063)". Lineage: Eukaryota; Viridiplantae; Streptophyta; Magnoliopsida; Ranunculales; Ranunculaceae. The record is from RNAcentral.
GGGCACCUCAGGAUCGUCAGUAAAUGCAUACUAAUCAGAUUUUUUUUUUUCUUUCUUUCUUUCUUAUGGUAGAUGUGUUCGACAAUAUAUUUAUUUGGGAUAUCUGAAACUGAAGCUCUUCUAUCUAAAUGGUUAUGGAGGUACGGGAGAGAGCAUGAGGCCCUUUGGCGAAGGGUAAUUGAUGCCAAAUAUGGGAAGUGUGACAAUGGUGGGAUGCCCUCAAAGGUGACAUGUCCAUAUGGGUGUAGUUUAUGGAGAGGGAUUCAAGCGAGCCAAGAGGAAUUCAUAGAAGGUAUAACAAAAUUAGCCAAAAGGGGUGACAAGAUUCGCUUUUGGCAUAACAUAUGGUUGGGGGAAAUUUCUUUCUUUAGGAGAUUUCCUAGGAUUUAUAGGUUUGCCGCAAUGAAGGAGGGGACGGUCUUGGGGCACAAAAGAGAUGAAGGGGGAUGGAAUCUUCACUUAAGGAGGACUAUGUUCCGAGAAGGUGAACAAUCUCAACUUGACCACCUCACGGCGUUACUUGAAAACGUGGACUUAGUGGAUGAAGAAGAUGAAUGGGAAUGGAAGUGGAAGAAAAGUAAGACUUUCACCAUCAAAUCAUGUUACAAGUACUUGGUUUCUCGGGCUAUUCCUAGAGGUGUGGAGACUAUGAAUUUCCCUUACAAGUUUACUUGGGAGCCACCUAUCCCAACGAAUGUUAAAUUUUUCGUUUGGAGUCUUCAUUGGAAGAAAAUCCUCACUAUUGAUAAGUUACAAAGUAGAGGAUUCUUGCUGGCGAAUAGGUGUGUCCUAUGUAAAAGGGAGGAAGAGUCUAUGGAGCACUUGUUGUUCAAAUGCGCUUAUGCUCAACAAGUAUGGAUGGACUUGAUUGAUAUGUGUGGAGCAGCUAGAAGCUGUUGUACUAGCUGAAAAUCUCUGAAACAGUGUUUGGAUCAAUGGCCAUCAUUGAAUGGAGGUGUACUAGCAGGGAAGAUAUGGAACCUGAUACCAUAUGCAGUGGUCUAGUGCCUCUGGACAGGGAGAAAUGAAGCAAUCUUCAGGGAGUGUUCAACAACAACAACGAAACUUGUCUUAAGAAUCAAAGCUGUUGUCUGGACUUGGCUGCACAUGGACAAGAGAGCUAUGGAAUGGAGGGAGAGAACUUCAUUUUCUGAACUGGUUGUGAACUGGCAAUUUUUCAUGGCUGAAGGGGUAUGACUCACUCAGAUGCAAAAUCAGUUCCCCAAGCUUAGAACGGAACAUGGUAUCACCCAGGCCAGUGGGGACAGGGGGCCUUUGGCUCAGGCAGAAACUGCAGGUGUCUUCAUGACUGUACAGGCGAAGCUGAAACAAUUGUUAUGCAGGGCUGGGCAAUAGCAAUUGGAAGGGGAUUGCGAACAGUGCAAGGUUGUUGCAAUCUGUUCGUAAGCUACAGAGGAGGCAGUUUUGUUGGGUAAUGUUUGCGAGGAAGGGCUGGAAAAUGCUGGAGCUUGCGCAACAGUUUCUGUAAGGCGUAUUUCCUUCUUAUCUUCAUUUCUGUACUUGCGAAUUUUCUGUUUGUAAUGUGCUCAACAGUAGUGAUUAUGUUUGUGUAAAAGCGGAUAUGUCCUCUUGGAAAAAACUGACGAUGCACGAAGGUGUAGGCUGAUCAGAUUUGUAAGGUGUUGUUUGCGUUUUAGUAAAAUUAUAAACUUUUAUCAAAAAAAAAAAAAACUGAACAUUUUUGUACUGACAUAUCUUCAUUUUCUUUCUGUGUAUAAUUUUCAAGCCACAACUUGGCAACUUAAACGAACAAAUGUCGUGACUGCAGGACAUGAAAAUCUCUGCUUAAAGUCAUCA